AUUGAACGCUGGCGGCAGGCCUAACACAUGCAAGUCGAACGGUAACAGGAAACAGCUUGCUGUUUCGCUGACGAGUGGCGGACGCGUGAGUAAUGUCUGGGAAACUGCCUGAUGGAGGGGGAUAACUACUGGAAACGGUAGCUAAUACCGCAUAACGUCGCAAGACCAAAGAGGGGGACCUUCGGGCCCCUUGCCCUCGGAUGUGCCCAGAUGGGAUUAGCUAGUAGGUGGGGUAACGGCUCACCUAGGCGACGAUCCCUAGCUGGUCUGAGAGGAUGACCAGCCACACUGGAACUGAGACACGGUCCAGACUCCUACGGGAGGCAGCAGUGGGGAAUAUUGCACAAUGGGCGCAAGCCUGAUGCAGCCAUGCCGCGUGUAUGAAGAAGGCCUUCGGGUUGUAAAGUACUUUCAGUGGGGAAGAAGAGAGUAAAGUUAAUACCUUUGCUCAUUGACGUUACCCGCAGAAGAAGCACCGGCUAACUCCGUG
RNAcentral lists this ribosomal RNA (490 nucleotides) under uncultured bacterium. Its description in RNAcentral is "partial 16S ribosomal RNA". It matches the Rfam family "Bacterial small subunit ribosomal RNA", at positions 30 to 507 of the family's 1533-position model. The record is from RNAcentral.